CAAGUCCGAGCGGGUAGCACAGAGAGCUUGCUCUCGGGUGACGAGCGGCGGACGGGUGAGUAAUGUCUGGGAAACUGCCUGAUGGAGGGGGAUAACUACUGGAAACGGUAGCUAAUACCGCAUAACGUCGCAAGACCAAAGUGGGGGACCUUCGGGCCUCAUGCCAUCAGAUGUGCCCAGAUGGGAUUAGCUAGUAGGUGGGGUAACGGCUCACCUAGGCGACGAUCCCUAGCUGGUCUGAGAGGAUGACCAGCCACACUGGAACUGAGACACGGUCCAGACUCCUACGGGAGGCAGCAGUGGGGAAUAUUGCACAAUGGGCGCAAGCCUGAUGCAGCCAUGCCGCGUGUGUGAAGAAGGCCUUCGGGUUGUAAAGCACUUUCAGCGGGGAGGAAGGCGGUGAGGUUAAUAACCUCGUCGAUUGACGUUACCCGCAGAAGAAGCACCGGCUAACUCCGUGCCAGCAGCCGCGGUAAUACGGAGGGUGCAAGCGUUAAUCGGAAUUACUGGGCGUAAAGCGCACGCAGGCGGUCUGUCAAGUCGGAUGUGAAAUCCCCGGGCUCAACCUGGGAACUGCAUUCGAAACUGGCGGGCUAGAGUCUUGUAGAGGGGGGUAGAAUUCCAGGUGUAGCGGUGAAAUGCGUACAGAUCUGGAGGAAUACCGGUGGCGAAGGCGGCCCCCUGGACAAAGACUGACGCUCAGGUGCGAAAGCGUGGGGAGCAAACAGGAAUAAGAUACCCUGGUAGUCCACGCCCUAGACAAUUUCCAUUUGGAGGUUGUGCCCUUGAGGCGUGGCUUCCGGAGCUAACGCGUUAAAU
RNAcentral lists this ribosomal RNA (819 nucleotides) under Klebsiella pneumoniae. Its description in RNAcentral is "bacterial SSU rRNA". It matches the Rfam family "Bacterial small subunit ribosomal RNA", at positions 58 to 865 of the family's 1533-position model. The record is from RNAcentral. Lineage: Bacteria; Pseudomonadati; Pseudomonadota; Gammaproteobacteria; Enterobacterales; Enterobacteriaceae.